UACGUAGGGGCCUAGCGUUAUCCGGAAUGAUUGGGCGUAAAGCGUCCGCAGGUGGCUGUGUAAGUCUGCUGUCAAAGAGCAAAGCUCAACUUUGUAAAGGCAGUGGAAACUACACGGCUAGAGUGCGUUCGGGGCAGAGGGAAUUCCUGGUGUAGCGGUGAAAUGCGUAGAGAUCAGGAAGAACACCGGUGGCGAAGGCGCUCUGCUAGGCCGCAACUGACACUGAGGGACGAAAGCUAGGGGAGCGAAUGGG
RNAcentral lists this ribosomal RNA (253 nucleotides) under uncultured bacterium. Its description in RNAcentral is "partial 16S ribosomal RNA". It matches the Rfam family "Bacterial small subunit ribosomal RNA", at positions 524 to 776 of the family's 1533-position model. The record is from RNAcentral.